CCGGCACGGGUGAGUAACACGUAUGCAAUCCACCUGUAACAGGGGGAUAACCCGGAGAAAUCCGGACUAAUACCCCAUAAUAUGGGCGCUCCGCAUGGAGAGCCCAUUAAAGAGAGCAAUUUUGGUUACAGACGAGCAUGCGCUCCAUUAGCCAGUUGGCGGGGUAACGGCCCACCAAGACUACGAUGGAUAGGGGUUCUGAGAGGAAGGUCCCCCACAUUGGAAUUGAGACACGGUCCAA
Molecule: ribosomal RNA, 241 nt
Filed under: uncultured bacterium
Lineage: Bacteria
Description: partial 16S ribosomal RNA
Rfam family: Bacterial small subunit ribosomal RNA
Source: RNAcentral